This 253-nucleotide ribosomal RNA is filed under the name uncultured bacterium. RNAcentral's name for it is "partial 16S ribosomal RNA". It matches the Rfam family "Bacterial small subunit ribosomal RNA", at positions 524 to 776 of the family's 1533-position model. The record is from RNAcentral.
UACGUAGGGGGCAAGCGUUGUCCGGAAUCAUUGGGCGUAAAGCGCGUGUAGGCGGCUCGGUAAGUCUGCUGUGAAAGUCCAGGGCUCAACCCUGGGAUGCCGGUGGAUACUGUCGAGCUCGAGUCCGGAAGAGGCGAGUGGAAUUCCUGGUGUAGCGGUGAAAUGCGCAGAUAUCAGGAGGAACACCAAUGGCGAAGGCAGCUCACUGGGACGGUAUUGACGCUGAGACGCGAAAGCGUGGGGAGCAAACAGG